GUAGGUUGACUGUCGGGACAAGCCCAGGGAUGGCAUUGUUUCUAUUUGCUGAUAAAUGACUCUGGGGCUGUGAAGACUCAGACCCAAGGAGUGACUCAGAAAGUCAGGGGCCCAUGUCAUUCUGCUCUGGGUUCAGACGUGCACUGCAGCAGCACCGGGACUUGACAGCCCUACGGCUCGAUCAGCUUUCUGUUUUCAUUGCCUUACGAUGCCAUGAGUGGAACUAUUGUCAAAUCAGAGUUCACUCCCCAGCUUUUCAGUCUUUCCCCUAAUUCUUGCUCUAUCAGAGGUCGAGGACAACAGUAUAAUGAUUCAUAGGUUCUACUUCCUGGCAAGUAAUCAUUUUCCCACGGGCCCUUGUGAAUUGAUGAAUAUGAAGACACUAAGAAAGCAGAAAUAGAACUGAGAAGAAUGAAAUAACUGUCUCUACCUUUCUCGAAUUGUCUAAUAUGGAAAGAAUGAAAGACAGCUAAUAAGCAACUCUCUGCAAGAAGACAUAUGGCUUAGAAUCUACUUGGAGAGAGUCAAACACAGAAUCCCUUUGAAUUUAAUGGCCAUUCCAGGUGAUUUGAACAGCCAAAUAAGAAACAGGUCCUCUUCAAUGUACAAUCUGCCAAGUAUGAAGUCUGAAUGACCAUCAUUAUUAUGUAUUUAAUGUGCAUAGAAAAUCUAUCUGCAACCUUCCAGAGUGUACCAGAAGUUUGGAAUGUACAUUAUUAUUGGCUCCAUCUCAAACCACUCAUAAAUCAAAGAAAAUAGCAGUUCCAGAGGAAUCAUCAUAGAGGCUUCUAGGCCCCCAUGCUGUGUGAACCUGGUGAGAAAGGGAAGUCUGCUCUCACUGGACACUGGAACUGUUUGUCUCUGUCUCUGCUGUACUUUCCCUGCCUCUACCUCACUUAGUAAAGAAAUCAUCUUUGCUUGAUAACUAAAACAACCAAUAAGGCUGAGAAAGGGGAAAACCCACAUCUGGAUUUAAAUACAAGGUAUUGGGCCAGCUGCUGGGGAUUAAACUUUGAACAAAACAGAUAGAAUCUAUGUCCUCAUGGGAGUGGCUAAUGGGAGAGUCGGAACAAAAAAAUAGCCAAGGAUAAUCCAGCAAAUGAUUUGGUGAAUGCUAUCAAAGAGAGAAAUACACAUGCUCUGGGAACACCAAGAAUAAACGAGAGAAAGGGACAUUAAUAUAUAUUGAAUAUCUGCUGUGUCAGGCACCUUACAUAUAUUGAUUGCUUCUUCACUUCUUUUAAUCUUUACUACACCACAUGAGGCUGUCAUAGAGAUUCUGAGG
RNAcentral lists this long non-coding RNA (1285 nucleotides) under Homo sapiens (human). Its description in RNAcentral is "HSALNT0111923". Lineage: Eukaryota; Metazoa; Chordata; Mammalia; Primates; Hominidae. The record is from RNAcentral.